Oncorhynchus keta (chum salmon) is the source of this 3676-nucleotide long non-coding RNA. RefSeq lists it as uncharacterized. The record is from RefSeq and is a predicted model, not a curated record. The transcript is spliced from 6 exons. Lineage: Eukaryota; Metazoa; Chordata; Actinopteri; Salmoniformes; Salmonidae.
CUCUAUCCGCUUUGCUGGGUUGAGGUGCAAGCCGAACCACUCAAACACCGUCUCCUUGUCAAUUUGCGACAGGCGACACGAUUCCCUCGUUGAAUCCUUGAACCGGUGGCUCACACCACGCUCGAAGAUGGCCCUGCUGAGUACGCCAGCAGCAGGUGGUGAGGGAAGGAGAAGGUGGCUGCAAGCAGGCAGGCUUCAGAGCCUGGGUGUAACCCCUCCCCUCUAAUCCACUUCCAAACCCACUAGACCCUCACUGAGAAGUCUCAGGUCUACAUCACAGCUUUGUGGACUGUUUGCAUUUACACUGAUGAAUGGCAUAUUGGCAGGCGGGGAGUGAAGAGUGGAGGGCCAUCUUCCCUGAGGGUAUGCCUCCCUCCUAUGUGUUUGUGGCCAAGAGCCCCCCCGACCGUGAGAAGUUGGACCUGAUCAGAGUGCUCUCUCAGGACAGGCUGAAACAGUUCGUUGUGACACUCAAUGGGCUGGACAAGUCUGCCACCUUCACCAUCACAACCAGCAGUGUCAUCAAGAAAGAACAGUGUGUCAUAUUCAAUGAUCGAGGCAUUAAGGUCUGUAGAAACACACUGAAAUAAUGACCCCAAAAACCUUAGGACUGGUUUCCUGGACACACAUUAAUCCUAGUACUGGGCUUUAAAGCAUAUUAAAUGGAUAGCUUAAAACUUUUUUUAGGGGUAGGUGUCAACAGGACACCCUUCGACAACUUCUGGUGAAAUUGGAGGGGGCGAGAUACAAAAACUGAGGCUUUACUGCGAUCCCGAGCAACUUGAGGAAGAGACGGCGUGUGAUAUAUACUCUGUGGUGAGUGCAAUGAUACUGUAACUACGAUACUCAUCGUUUACUUCCAUAUGUCACUGAAGGUUGAGGUUUAAUGCAGGGAGCCAAAGAUACAAUUAUCAUCUUCAUAUCAUUAUCUCACUCUGUUUAUUUCUAUACAGGAGGAUGACAGGGGGAGUAUGCAUGUUGGUUGUCUAUGUGUUGCUCAGUUUUUACAGUACAUUGGUACACUUGUUGCGUUGUCCCUGUUAUGUUAAACUGUUUUCUGCCCCCAGUGUCUCCUGGACAGACAACCUGCAGCAGUGGAGAGCUGUAACUGCCCCCAGGGGAAACCUGGGCCUCCUGGUCUUCCUGGGCCUAUUGUGAUUAAGUAAUACCAUGUUAGACUAGAAAAGUACAUUUCCUGAAGAAAAUGUGGUGUGCUUGCUAGCUUGUUUUAAUGUAUUUAUGGUUAUGAGGUAAGUUAUAGUAGUUGUAAUGACUGCAGUAGAAAUGGUAGUGACUGGUUAUAGUUGAAAAAGUAGGUAGAUGAAGAGAUUGGUUGGUUGUUUGUUUUAUUUAUUUGGAUGGGAUAAGAUAGGAUAGCAUGAACAUUUGAAAGUUGUUUUUGUGUGUCUAACAGUUCAAAAGUUACUGUUGGCGAGUUAUUUUAUGCAAAUAUAUGCAUAUUUAUAUAGUUAUAGUUAUAAUUUUAUGUUAGGAUAGCCUGAACAUGUGAAAGAUGGUUUGGUGUCUCUAGCUUGAACGGCUCAAUAAUUACCGUUGGGGGGUUAUUUUAUGCACGUUUAUAUAAUUCUAGUUGAAUACAUUUUUUUAGAGAAUUUGAAGUUAGGAUAGCCUGAACAUGUGAAAGUUGAUUUGGUUUAUUUCCAUUGAAAUGGAUUGGAUUUCAUUUUAAAUAUUGUCGUAGUUCAAAAAGUAAAAAUAUUAUCAAAAAUGUUUUCUCAGGCAAUCUAAGUUGGGGACGUAUGCACAUCUGAAAGUGUGUUUCGUGGUCAUAUCUUAAAGCGUUUAAGCGCAAGAGUGAGCCGAAUAAAUAAAACAAUUAUUUGACUAUGUAAAAAAUCUAAAGUUGUGCUUUGCCUUCAGCAAGCACACCAAUGUAAUUUUUUACCCCUUUUUCUCCCCAAUUUCAUGUCUCAUUGCUGCAACUCCCAUAUGGACUCGGGAGAGGUGAAGGUCGAGAGCCAUAUGUCCUCUGAAACACAACCCAACCAAGCCGCACUGCUUCUUGACACAAUGCCCACUUAAUCCGGAAGCCAGCCGCACCAAUGUGUCGGAGGAAACAUCGUACACCUGGUGACCGUGUCAGUGUGCCCAGCGCCCGGCCCACCACAGGAGUCGCUAGUGCGCAAUGAGACAAGGACAUCCCAGCUGGCCAAACCUUCCUGUAACUCGGACGAUGCUGGUCGAUUGCAUGAAGGAUUAAUUGAUUGGUGGAUGUAUUGAUUGAGGAAAUUGAUGGAUCAUUUAUUGAGAUGUUUUUUUUAAAUGGCUCUACAAAAUGCAAACUCUUUUAUGAGAUGGGUACAACUACUUCAUAGCAUGUCUGUUUGACCGCUGUAGAGCUUCCAAGGUGAGAAUGGGAGGGGUCACCUGGUACUGACGGUAAGCCUGGCCAAGCUUCCAGCCCUCCAGGAUCUCUGUAUCAGGCGGUGUGAAAGGAAGGCCUGCGAAAAUCUUUAGAGACUCCAGCUACCCAAGCCAUAGACUGUACUCUCUGCUUCCGCACGGCAAGUGGUACCGCUGCAUCAAGUCUGACACCAACAGGCUCUUGAACAGCUUCGAUCCCCAAGCCAUAAGACAACUAAAUAGUUAUUUUUGCACUGUCUCUAUGCACACUUACAGGAUGCUACACACUCAAGCACACUGACACACUCACAGGUAGACACACUCACUUUAUUUGCUUACACGCACAUAUGUAGACACAUUUAUACACACUCAAAUACAAUCAUCAUAUACGCUGCUGCUACUCUAUCAUAUAUCCUGAUGCCAAUUGACCUUACAUAUCUACCUCUAUCACUCCAGUAAAUAUGUAAAUAUGAUAUUGGAACUGACUCUGCAUAUAGCUUACUUCUCGUGUUCUUCUUAUUUUAAUUUAGUUUGUUUUUGUUCUACCUUAUUUUACUUUUAGUGCUACAUUGAUAUUGAUUACUGGGUUUAGAGUUUGGAAGAUAUACAUUUCACUGCACUUGUGCCUGUGACAUUAAAACUUGAAACGUGACACUACAGUAUAGUGUUUUUGAUAAUGAAAUCAAUUGUUGCUAAUUUUGAUUGUGAAAGGGAAGCCAGGUUAACGUGGAGAACCAGGGAGGAAUGGGACCAAAAUGAGUGAAUACAUGUCACCAUUAGAUGUUUUAACAACCAUUUCAGCAUUUGUUUGAUUAUUCUCUUUGCCACUUGUGACAGAAAAAUGAUGUAUUCACCUUAUUUGUUGGAUAUGUAACAAUUAUUUACUUAAACAAUGAGAUAUUUCUGUCCUGCUAAUGCUGAGUUUUAGGGUGUCCACGCUAGCUUCCUGGUGAUAACAUCUACAGCUGGCAUUCCAGUGACAGGAUGUGGGGUGGUUGUAACUGGGAUAGAGAGGAGUAGAACAAAGGCCUCAAUGGUUCUUAGACAUCCUGGUCUGGGAAAUUAGGCCAGGGUCGGGGGUUAAGGUAAUGCCAGGGGCAGAUAAAGACAGGAUGAGCCCAAAGUGGCUUAUGGUGCCCCCAGUCAAUAUGGGAAGGGUGGAACCAAGCAUUCUGGGUAUUGGCUAUAUAAACUGUGUAUUGUCUGUAUGAUUCAGACUCUCAGCCUAACAGUCAGAACAAGACUGUUGGGCUGACAGAUGAAUUAUUGCAAUAAUGAAUCGAUAUUAAAUAAGUAUUAUUGUUUGAAGAAA